GAGAGGAAGGGAGGUCUAACAUGAGAGCAAGAGCCUAGUUUGGUAGCCAAGGAUGACUUGCCUGCUCUACCAGAGAGAUCAAUUCUCCAUUGGUGUAACUUUGUUGGAUUGGAAGCUUCUGUUUGGCCAGGCAGUCAUCCAGGCUAAACUGACAGGCUCUUCUUCCUCAUGCCAGGCCUUCCCUUCUUCC
This 190-nucleotide microRNA precursor is filed under the name Prunus persica (peach). Lineage: Eukaryota; Viridiplantae; Streptophyta; Magnoliopsida; Rosales; Rosaceae. The record is from RNAcentral.